ACGCACGCUGGCGGCGUGCUUAACCCAUGCACGUCGAACGGAAAGGCCCUGCUUUUGUGGGGUGCUCGAGUGGCGAACGGGUGAGUAACACGUGAGUAACCUGCCCUUGACUUUGGGAUAACUUCAGGAAACUGGGGCUAAUACCGGAUAGGAGCUCCUGCUGCAUGGUGGGGGUUGGAAUGUUUCGGCGGUUGGGGAUGGACUCGCGGCUUAUCAGCUUGUUGGUGGGGUAGUGGCUUACCAAGGCUUUGACGGGUAGCCGGCCUGAGAGGGUGACCGGCCACAUUGGGACUGAGAUACGGCCCAGACUCCUACGGGAGGCAGCAGUGGGGAAUAUUGCACAAUGGGCGGAAGCCUGAUGCAGCAACGCCGCGUGCGGGAUGACGGCCUUCGGGUUGUAAACCGCUUUCGCCUGUGACGAAGCGUGAGUGACGGUAAUGGGUAAAGAAGCACCGGCUAACUACGUG
RNAcentral lists this ribosomal RNA (467 nucleotides) under uncultured bacterium. Its description in RNAcentral is "partial 16S ribosomal RNA". It matches the Rfam family "Bacterial small subunit ribosomal RNA", at positions 29 to 507 of the family's 1533-position model. The record is from RNAcentral.